This 906-nucleotide ribosomal RNA is filed under the name Phycisphaerae bacterium. RNAcentral describes it as "partial 23S ribosomal RNA". It matches the Rfam family "Bacterial large subunit ribosomal RNA", at positions 2023 to 2925 of the family's 2925-position model. The record is from RNAcentral. Lineage: Bacteria; Pseudomonadati; Planctomycetota; Phycisphaerae.
AAGGACGGACUCGGUGAAAUUGUAAUUGUGGUGAAGAUACCACAUACCCGCGGCAAGACGGAAAGACCCCGUGAACCUUUACUGUAGCCUGGUAUUGAUGCCUGGCAUAUCAUGCGUAGGAUAGGUGGGAGGCAUUGAAGCUCCGGUUUCGGCCGGAGUUGAGCCAACCUUGAAAUACCACCCUUGCUAUGUUAGUCACCUAACCGUGACCCGUGAAUCCGGGCAUGGAACCGUGCCAGGUGGGCAGUUUGACUGGGGCGGUCUCCUCCAAAAGAGUAACGGAGGAGCUCAAAGGUACACUCAGCGUGGUUGGCAAUCACGUGUAGAGCAUAAGGGUACAAGUGUGCUUAACUGCGAGACUUAUCGGUCGAGCAGAUGCGAAAGCAGGACUUAGUGAUCCGGUGGUUCCGUGUGGAAGGGCCAUCGCUCAACAGAUAAAAGGUACUCCGGGGAUAACAGGCUUAUGACUCCCGAGCGUUCAUAGCGGCGGAGUCGUUUGGCACCUCGAUGUCGGCUCAUCACAUCCUGGGGCUGUAGGUGGUCCCAAGGGUUGGGCUGUUCGCCCAUUAAAGUGGUACGCGAGCUGGGUUCAGACCGGCGCGAGCCAGGUCGGUCCCUAUCUGCCGUGGGCGCAGGAAUCUUGAGGAGAUGUUUCCUUAGUACGAGAGGAUUGGGAAGCACUGACCGCUGGUGUACCGGUUGUCCCGCUAGGGGCACCGCCGGGUAGCUAAGUCGGGAAAGGAUAACCGCUGAAAGCAUCUAAGUGGGAAGCCUACUCCAAGAUUAGGAUUCCAUUCCGCUUCGUGCGGAUGAAGAGCCCUGACAGACUAUCAGGUUAAUAGGCCGGGUGUGUAAGCGUAGAGAUACGUUCAGCUAACCGGUACUAACGCUCGAUUACUUGACCAU